CACGUAGGGCGCAAGCGUUGUCCGGAAUUAUUGGGCGUAAAGAGCUCGUAGGCGGUCUGUUGCGUCCGCUGUGAAAACUCGGGGCUUAACCCCGAGCCUGCAGUGGAUACGGGCAGACUAGAGGUAGGUAGGGGAGAAUGGAAUUCCCGGUGUAGCGGUGAAAUGCGCAGAUAUCGGGAGGAACACCGGUGGCGAAGGCGGUUUUCUGGGCCUUACCUGACGGUGAGGAGCGAAAGCGUGGGGAGCGAACAGG
RNAcentral lists this ribosomal RNA (253 nucleotides) under uncultured bacterium. Its description in RNAcentral is "partial 16S ribosomal RNA". It matches the Rfam family "Bacterial small subunit ribosomal RNA", at positions 524 to 776 of the family's 1533-position model. The record is from RNAcentral.